RNAcentral lists this ribosomal RNA (497 nucleotides) under uncultured bacterium. RNAcentral's name for it is "partial 16S ribosomal RNA". It matches the Rfam family "Bacterial small subunit ribosomal RNA", at positions 28 to 507 of the family's 1533-position model. The record is from RNAcentral.
GAUGAACGCUGGCGGCGUGCCUAAUACAUGCAAGUCGAGCGAACAGACGAGGAGCUUGCUCCUCUGACGUUAGCGGCGGACGGGUGAGUAAAACGUGGAUAACCUACCUAUAAGACUGGGAUAACUUCGGGAAACCGGAGCUAAUACCGGAUAAUAUAUUGAACCGCAUGGUUCAAUAGUGAAAGACGGUUUUGCUGUCAAUUAUAGAUGGAUCCGCGCCGCAUUAGCUAGUUGGUAAGGUAACGGCUUACCAAGGCAACGAUGCGUAGCCGACCUGAGAGGGUGAUCGGCCACACUGGAACUGAGACACGGUCCAGACUCCUACGGGAGGCAGCAGUAGGGAAUCUUCCGCAAUGGGCGAAAGCCUGACGGAGCAACGCCGCGUGAGUGAUGAAGGUCUUCGGAUCGUAAAACUCUGUUAUUAGGGAAGAACAAAUGUGUAAGUAACUAUGCACGUCUUGACGGUACCUAAUCAGAAAGCCACGGCUAACUACGUG